AUGCUCCUUGCAAACCUUGGCCUAGGCCCACCCCAGUAUGAGUAUGUUGUCCAUGAGGAUAGUAAAGUUCGCGUUACCGUUAACUUCAACACUUCUGGUCUGGAUCCUGGAGGCUCAAUUGUUGACGUGUCUGUGCCUGGAGAGUAUUGCAUGGACGAGGUCACUGCUGAAGAUAGCGCUGCUAUCAAAGCAGUCAGAUACAUAGAAACUAUGACCAACACGGUUGUCAGAGACAUAAACUAUGCAAAAGCAAAGCGCCAGGAAAAUCGUAUCGCCUUCCUUGAAAAUCGGAUCAAAGAAUCAGAAGUCAAAGGCAAGAAGCUUAGCAGAGAUGAUGAUAUGGAGAUCGUAGAGAUUUCGGGUACAUAUCUACUUGGAGGUAUAUUAGAUAAGCUCGACCUUCCAACACCGCUCUAUCACUCUCAGACACAUCCAAGGGGCCAGUUUGUGACUAAUGUUACAUUUUAUCCCUCGAAAGAGCAUCUACGACACCCGCCUACACCGGUCCAGCUCUCGAGCUCUCCCCUGCAUAACUUGCAGAGCACAAUAGAUGUAGUAUCUCAAAAGGCAAUACACUAUAUGGAAGAUAACCAAAGGAAGGUCUUGCAAGACUACAACUAUAUUGAAUUGAAAAGAUCAGAGGAGGCCAACUUACAACUUACUGACCUACUAGCUGAGAAAGAUGAAAGGAUCAAAGGAUUAGCAACGACCACUGGUAACUACAUAGGUACUGUCUUUUCAAUCUGUGAUCGGAUAUCUUCCUUGGUUGUAUCUGAGUCACUUCCACCUGGGCCCGCGCUAGGCGUUGAGUGGGCUAGGAAGAUUUCAGAAGUUAAUCGUGUUGUUACUCGCCUGAGCAAGCUUUCACAUGAUGCGCUUCAGCUCCUCGGAGUUGCAUUUGGUUAUCCAGAGGAACAGAACGACGGUGACUCGGAUGGCCACAUCCUCGACCUUUAG
This 957-nucleotide ribosomal RNA is filed under the name Triticum aestivum (bread wheat). RNAcentral describes it as "partial small subunit ribosomal RNA". The record is from RNAcentral. Lineage: Eukaryota; Viridiplantae; Streptophyta; Magnoliopsida; Poales; Poaceae.